GGGGAUAUAGCUCAGUGGUAGAGCACCUGUUUAGUGGACAUGGAGCUUUGAGUUCAAUUCCCAGCACUGCUG
Molecule: transfer RNA, 72 nt
Filed under: Fukomys damarensis (Damara mole-rat)
Lineage: Eukaryota; Metazoa; Chordata; Mammalia; Rodentia; Bathyergidae
Rfam family: tRNA
About the family: Transfer RNA (tRNA) molecules are approximately 80 nucleotides in length. Their secondary structure includes four short double-helical elements and three loops (D, anti-codon, and T loops).
Source: Rfam by way of RNAcentral